CUGAACCAGCCAAGUAGCGUGAAGGAUGACUGCCCUAUGGGUUGUAAACUUCUUUUAUAAAGGAAUAAAGUCGGGUAUGCAUACCCGUUUGCAUGUACUUUAUGAAUAAGGAUCGGCUAGCUCCGUGCCAGCAGCCGCGGUAAUACGGAGGAUCCGAGUGUUAUCCGGAUUUAUUGGGUUUAAAGGGAGCGUAGAUGGAUGUUUAAGUCAGUUGUGAAAGUUUGCGG
RNAcentral lists this ribosomal RNA (227 nucleotides) under uncultured bacterium. Its description in RNAcentral is "partial 16S ribosomal RNA". It matches the Rfam family "Bacterial small subunit ribosomal RNA", at positions 383 to 607 of the family's 1533-position model. The record is from RNAcentral.